RNAcentral lists this ribosomal RNA (800 nucleotides) under uncultured bacterium. RNAcentral describes it as "bacterial SSU rRNA". It matches the Rfam family "Bacterial small subunit ribosomal RNA", at positions 8 to 814 of the family's 1533-position model. The record is from RNAcentral.
AGAGUUUGAUCCUGGCUCAGGAUAAACGCUGGCGGCGCACAUAAGACAUGCAAGUCGAACGGACUAUACUUAUUCUUAACGAUUAAGUAGAUGUUAGUGGCGGACUGGUGAGUAACACGUAAGCAACCUACCUAUAAGAGGGGAAUAACAGUGAGAAAUCAUUGCUAAUACCGCAUAAGCUCACAGUAGCACAUGCUACAGAGAGAAAAGGAGCAAUCCGCUUAUAGAUGGGCUUGCGGCUGAUUAGCUAGUUGGUGAGAUAAAAGCUCACCAAGGCGACGAUCAGUAGCCGGACUGAGAGGUUGAACGGCCACAUUGGGACUGAGAUACGGCCCAGACUCCUACGGGAGGCAGCAGUCGGGAAUAUUGCGCAAUGGAGGGAACUCUGACGCAGUGACGCCGCGUAUAGGAAGAAGUUUUUCGGAAUGUAAACUAUUGUCAUUAGGGAAGAGGAAGGACGGUACCUAAGGAGGAAGCCCCGGCUAACUAUGUGCCAGCAGCCGCGGUAAUACAUAGGGGGCGAGCGUUAUCCGGAAUUAUUGGGUGUAAAGGGUGCGUAGACGGGGAUGUAAGUUAGUUGUGAAAGGCCUUGGCUUAACUGAGGAACUGCAACUAAAACUACAUUUCUUGAGUACUGGAGAGGAAAGUGGAAUUCCUAGUGUAGCGGUGAAAUGCGUAGAUAUUAGGAGGAAUACCGGUGGCGAAGGCGACUUUCUGGACAGAAACUGACGUUGAGGCACGAAAGCGUGGGGAGCAAACAGGAUUAGAUACCCUGGUAGUCCACGCUGUAAACGAUGGAU